Molecule: ribosomal RNA, 253 nt
Filed under: uncultured bacterium
Lineage: Bacteria
Description: partial 16S ribosomal RNA
Rfam family: Bacterial small subunit ribosomal RNA
Source: RNAcentral
GACAGAGGAUGCAAGCGUUAUCCGGAAUGAUUGGGCGUAAAGCGUCUGUAGGUGGCUUUUCAAGUCCGCCGUCAAAUCCCAGGGCUCAACCCUGGACAGGCGGUGGAAACUACCAAGCUGGAGUACGGUAGGGGCAGAGGGAAUUUCCGGUGGAGCGGUGAAAUGCAUAGAUAUCGGGAAGAACACCAACGGCGAAAGCACUCCGCUGGGCUGAUACUGACACUGACAGACGAAAGCUAGGGUAGCGAAUGGG